Molecule: long non-coding RNA, 403 nt
Organism: Bactrocera tryoni
Lineage: Eukaryota; Metazoa; Arthropoda; Insecta; Diptera; Tephritidae
Exons: 3
Source: RefSeq, a predicted model, not a curated record
ACGCCAUUCAAACAAACGUCAAACCAAAAAUUUAUUCGAUCUAUUCAAAAAGGAAAAUACAUGUGCAAAUAUAUAAACAAUGGAUGAGCAGUCCAUACUAUAAGCUGCAAUCGAGAAAAGAUGCCUUGUGGAAUGAAAUCGGGAGAGAUAUGAACGAGAAAUGUGUCGCCGUAGAUGGCUAACACUUCGUAACCGGCACGGGAGGGAAGUGCGAAAGGCUAACGCCCCCUCAGGCAGGCAGGAUGGAAAUCCAAAGGCAGUGGCAUUUGUUGGAGGCUAUAAAAUUCCUGAAGCCACAUAUUGUACCACGACCGGUUAGAUGCUCACAAAAUAUUUGUGAAACCGCUGUCUGUGAUGAGGUCCCUUGUCGCCGUUAAUCCCUAUUACAAUAUCAACGAUUAUU